This 253-nucleotide ribosomal RNA is filed under the name uncultured bacterium. RNAcentral describes it as "partial 16S ribosomal RNA". It matches the Rfam family "Bacterial small subunit ribosomal RNA", at positions 524 to 776 of the family's 1533-position model. The record is from RNAcentral.
GACGAACCGUGCGAACGUUGUUCGGAUUCACUGGGCUUAAAGGGCGCGUAGGCGGACGGUCAAGUCGGGGGUGAAAUCUUUCAGCUUAACUGGAAAAGUGCCUCCGAUACUGAUCGUCUCGAGGGAGGUAGGGGCAUGUGGAACUUCCGGUGGAGCGGUGAAAUGCGUAGAUAUCGUCUGGAACGCCGAAGGUGAAAACAGCUCGCUGGGGCUGCGCUGACGCUGAGACACGAAAGCCAGGGGAGCGAACGGG